Molecule: long non-coding RNA, 387 nt
Filed under: Rattus norvegicus (Norway rat)
Lineage: Eukaryota; Metazoa; Chordata; Mammalia; Rodentia; Muridae
Description: long non-coding RNA NONRATT024117
Source: RNAcentral
ACGGAGGAGAAAAGAGGUUAAGGAGCAGUGACUAAGAGAGGCCACUGAACAUCUUCGUCCUCAGAGAGCUGCCUUUCCGCGACAGGGGUCCCUCCAAUCUUGUUUGCCUCUGCAGAGCCUCAGCCACCUGGAAGAUGCCGAGAUUCUGCUACAGUCGCUCAGGGGCCCUGCUGCUGGCCCUCCUGCUUCAGACCUCCAUAGACGUGUGGAGCUGGUGCCUGGAGAGCAGCCAGUGCCAGGACCUCACCACGGAAAGCAACCUGCUGGCUUGCAUCCGGGCCUGCAGACUCGACCUCUCGGCGGAGACGCCCGUGUUUCCAGGCAACGGAGAUGAACAGCCCUUGACUGAAAAUCCCCGGAAGUACGUCAUGGGUCACUUCCGCUGGG